RNAcentral lists this microRNA (23 nucleotides) under Ornithorhynchus anatinus (platypus). Its description in RNAcentral is "Oan-Mir-92-P1a6_5p* (star (passenger))". Lineage: Eukaryota; Metazoa; Chordata; Mammalia; Monotremata; Ornithorhynchidae. The record is from RNAcentral.
AGGUUGAGAUCAAUUGCAAUGCU